GUAGGUGAACCCGCGGAAGGAUCAUUAACACGUAUCCACGUAUAUCAACCCAACGGCAACUGUUUUCAGCCGGCUAUCCCGAUCUUCCUCCCUUUGAGAUUGAUUCAUGUGUGCAAGUACUUGGUUGUAAUGAUCGACGAAAGCGCGCGCGUCUAACGAAAUCAAAGGGACAAGGCCUGCCGUACUUCAUUGUGCGGAAUGUGUGCUAGCUAUUAGAGGAGGAGACGUCGCUACCCACCUUACUAACAUCAUCAUGGAUUAGUUGACUGUUUUGUAGUUACUUGUCGGCUGUCGGUAUUUGCUUACCCGCACCCGUGCAGGCAAUACACGUUUAUUUACUUGAACGUUAAAAAUACAACUCUUAGCAAUGGAUAUCUUGGUUCUC
Molecule: unclassified non-coding RNA, 385 nt
Filed under: rhizosphere metagenome
Description: partial ribosomal RNA internal transcribed spacer region
Source: RNAcentral